This 261-nucleotide ribosomal RNA is filed under the name uncultured bacterium. Its description in RNAcentral is "partial small subunit ribosomal RNA". It matches the Rfam family "Bacterial small subunit ribosomal RNA", at positions 26 to 285 of the family's 1533-position model. The record is from RNAcentral.
AGGACGAACGCUGGCGGCGUGCUUAACACAUGCAAGUCGAGCGAGGCCCCUUCCUUCGGGAGGGGAGCCCUAGCGGCGAACGGGUGAGUGACACGUGGGCAAUCUGCCCCUAGCACUGGGAUAACUCCGGGAAACCGGGGCUAAUACCGGAUAUGACCUCCGAGGGCAUCCUCUGGAGGUGGAAAGGAUUCUGGCUAGGGAUGAGCCCGCGGCCUAUCAGCUAGUUGGUGGGGUAAUGGCCCACCAAGGCGACGACGGGUA